This 466-nucleotide ribosomal RNA is filed under the name uncultured bacterium. Its description in RNAcentral is "partial 16S ribosomal RNA". It matches the Rfam family "Bacterial small subunit ribosomal RNA", at positions 28 to 507 of the family's 1533-position model. The record is from RNAcentral.
GAUGAACGCUGGCGGCGUGCUUAACACAUGCAAGUCGAACGAUGAAGCCCAGAUUGCUGGGUGGAUUAGUGGCGAACGGGUGAGUAACACGUGAGUACCCUGCCCUUAACUCUGGGAUAGGCCUGGGCAACUGGGUAUAAUGCCGGAUAGGAGCGACUACCGCAUGGUGGGUGUUGGAAAGAUUUAUCGGUUUUGGAUGGACUCGCGGCCUAUCAGCUUGUUGGUGAGGUAGUGGCUAACCAAGGCGACGACGGGGAGCCGGCCUGAGAGGGUGACCGGCCACACUGGGACUGAGACACGGCCCAGACUCCUACGGGAGGCAGCAGUGGGGAAUAUUGCACAAUGGGCGAAAGCCUGAUGCAGCGACGCCGCGUGAGGGAUGACGGCCUUCGGGUUGUAAACCUCUUUCAGUAGGGAAGAAGCGAAAGUGACGGUACCUGCAGAAGAAGCACCGGCUAACUACGUG